UGAUUUGGAAAACUUUUUUAUCAACGAGAACUUGAUUGGUUUGAACACUAUUGAAGAUGCACUCGAGGAAAAAUUAGAUAUUUAUGUUAAAUUGUUCGCAAUCCUCUAUGCAGAUGAUACUGUGCUAAUGGCGGAAUCGGCCAAAAAAUCUUCAAUUAUUGCUAGAUAAAUUCCACUCAUAUUGUGAUGUCUGGAAAAUGAAAGUUAAUGUAGAAAAAACAAAAAUUGUAAUUUUUAGUAAAGGAAGACAACCCAAAAAUCUCAGUUUUACAUAUGAUAACUCUGUUAUAGAUAUCGUUCAAGAAUUCAACUAUCUUGGGAUCUAUUUUUCACGAAAUGGGACAUUUAAACACUGUAGAAAACACUCAGCAGAAAAAGCUACAAAGGCAAUGUAUGAGGUAAUCAAAAAGGGGAGAAAACAUGGGUUAUCUAUUAGUUGUCAAUUAGAUUUAUUUGACAAGUUAGUGAAACCGGUCUUAUUGUACGGUUGUGAAAUUUGGGGGUUUGGGAAUAACGACAUUUCGGAGAAAGUUCAAUUAAAAUUCUGUAAGCUUCUUCUGCACCUAAAGUCUUCUACCCCAAAUUGCGUAAUAUAUGGUGAACUUGGACGAUAUUCCAUCAAUUUAGAUAUUAAAGUCCGUAUGGUAUCAUUUUGGGUGAAAUUAGUAUGUGGUAAACCGACUAAAUUAUCAGCGACCAUUUAUAAACUACUGUAUAAGCUGUCAAAUGAAAAUGAUGUACAUUUUAGAUGGUUAAACCAUGUUGAAUCUAUUUUUAAUGAAACGGGAUUAUCUUUUGUGUGGUUGUCUCAAACAUGUAUUAGUGACAUUUGGCUAAAGAAUACAAUCAGAACAUCACUCCAAGAUCAGUUUCAACAAACAUGGUUUUCAAAUGUUCAAGCAUGUUCGAAGACAUUAAAUUAUCGAAUUUUUAAGGAUACUUUUGGGUUUGAGAACUAUUUUGAUAUUUUAGAAUUUCGUGAUAUUUAUACGUUAUGCAAAUUUAGAACC
RNAcentral lists this long non-coding RNA (1010 nucleotides) under Mytilus galloprovincialis (Mediterranean mussel). Lineage: Eukaryota; Metazoa; Mollusca; Bivalvia; Mytilida; Mytilidae. The record is from RNAcentral.